This 1222-nucleotide long non-coding RNA is filed under the name Anser brachyrhynchus (Pink-footed goose). Its description in RNAcentral is "lncRNA (ENSABRG00000009546.1)". Lineage: Eukaryota; Metazoa; Chordata; Aves; Anseriformes; Anatidae. The record is from RNAcentral.
AAGUGGAGAGGUCUAAGCACCGGUCUCCAGCGUGCCGCGGAGAUGUAAAGCAAAGUCACUUUUUUCCCCCUUUUUUUAUUUACUUUUUUAUUUAUUUAUUUUAUGAUGGAGUUGGCAGAGUAAUUCAGCUGGGUUUUGGUGACACCCAGGAACGCAAUAAAGUAAAACGUGGGCAGCCCUCAGACAGCCUGCACGGUGACAAACGGGUUAUCACCCUCGACAUGAAGAACUACGGCUCUUCCUUUUUUUUCUUCUUUUUCCCAAGGUCACUCCUGAAAACCAAGAGAGGUAAUUUGUGCAUGUGCCUGUCCACACCUGUGGUUCUGUUCACAGCCCUUGCUUCCCCACCUGCCUGGCCCACCCGGGACACCUGCGCACCUAUAAAAGCCCCCGCCUGGGCUCUCCCCUCCCUUUGGUCUCUGCUUCCCUCUGCCCCUCUCAGAGGAGGGCAGAGAGCUGCAUUUUUAGGGCUAAAGCUUCGUGGUUUUAGCUCUGGAUCCUGGGACUGGAUGCCUUACCUGCCUUUAGAAAGAAGGUAGCUGUGUUCCUGCUUUCGGGUUUUUUUAUUAAAAGGAAGAAGCCUGGAAACGUGCCCUGAGCUGAAAGUUUGAAGAGGAGCACAGAGUGUCCCCGCAUAGACCUUCCCUGGGGAGCGAGGGACAGCCCAUGGCACCGCGUCCGAGGGCAGCACGUUUGUGUGAGCAGGAGCUGCAGCAGCGGACCCCAGGGAACCCUUUGGAUGGGGGCAGGAUGCCACAAGCUCAGCUCCCACGUGCAGGGAGGCGACGUCUGGCCUGGUGAUGGGGCCGUCCCCUUCUGGGCUCCGUGGCUCUUGCUAGUCCCAAACACAUCUCUGCAAUUCCCCUUUGCGUAUGCCCAAGCCCAAUUAACCAGUGUGCCAUUUAACCAAGCCUGGACGAUGUGCUGCCUCCACGAUGCUUCUCCAGGAGAGUUUUCAGCUUUGUUCUCCUCCGAUAGUCCACCAGUCUAUCCGGGGUCACAUACUGGCUGCAUUUCAUCUGGCAUCUCGCAGUCACGCACAACCACUGCUCCAACACUGCUGGUCGCAGUGGGUGCUGCUCUGCUGCCCCGUCCCAGCUCCUGCAGGUUAACUCAGCGGGGAUAUUGCAAAAGCAAAUUCCUCCCGGCAAGUGUAAUUACGGGGCCGGAAUUCCUCCGGUUCCUUGUCCUUGCCGCGAAUCCUGCUAAAGCCAUCAGGUGA